This is a long non-coding RNA of Manis javanica (Malayan pangolin), 283 nucleotides long. RefSeq lists it as uncharacterized. The record is from RefSeq and is a predicted model, not a curated record. Lineage: Eukaryota; Metazoa; Chordata; Mammalia; Pholidota; Manidae.
GCGUUGACCACUGGUUCAAUCAUGCCACUGUCAGCCGAAAUCACAAGAAUCUUAUACGGCUUGAUCCACAGGGGGACUCGCUCCUGUUCCCAAAUGGACUGUGAGGAGACAGAGGUCUGAAGCUCCUUGCAGGUAGGGCCAGGAUCACAGCACUCACUGCUGCCACAGAGACCCUCCAUCAGGACUUCUUGAAAUAUUUAUUAAACUAUGACUUACUAUUCUCUACUUUCCUGAGACUUUAUUUAGCAGAUGUUCAAUAAAUAUUUUGAUUAAAUUUCCCUCA